Molecule: ribosomal RNA, 429 nt
Filed under: Gemmatimonadota bacterium
Lineage: Bacteria; Pseudomonadati; Gemmatimonadota
Description: Gemmatimonadetes bacterium partial 16S ribosomal RNA
Rfam family: Bacterial small subunit ribosomal RNA
Source: RNAcentral
UAGGGAAUCUUCGGCAAUGGACGAAAGUCUGACCGAGCAACGCCGCGUGAGUGAAGAAGGUGUUCGGAUCGUAAAACUCUGUUGUUAGAGAAGAACAAGGACGUUAGUAACUGAACGUCCCCUGACGGUAUCUAACCAGAAAGCCACGGCUAACUACGUGCCAGCAGCCGCGGUAAUACGUAGGUGGCAAGCGUUGUCCGGAUUUAUUGGGCGUAAAGCGAGCGCAGGCGGUUUCUUAAGUCUGAUGUGAAAGCCCCCGGCUCAACCGGGGAGGGUCAUUGGAAACUGGGAUACUUGAUUGCAUAAGAGGAUAGUGGAAUUCCAUGUGUAGCGGUGAAAUGCGUGGAUAUAUGGAGGAACACCAGUGGCGAAGGCGGCUCUCUGGUCUGUAACUGACGCUGAUGCUCGAAAGCGUGGGGAGCAAAAAUG